GGAGUCUAGCAUGUGCGCGAGUCAUUGGGACAUAACUAAACCUAAAGGCGUAAUGAAAGUAAAGGUUUUCCUUGUGCUAACCAAGGGAGGAUAGGUUAAGCAUUAUAGCUUAUGCCUCGCACUCCCGGGGCGUCUCAUUCUUAUUACAAGAAGAGGCGCACCAAGAGCGUACACGCUGGGACCCGAAAGAUGGUGAACUAUGCCUGGUCAGGAUGAAGUCAGGGGAAACCCUGAUGGAGGUCCGUAGCGAUUCUGACGUGCAAAUCGAUCGUCGGAACUGGGUAUAGGGGCGAAAGACUAAUCGAACCAUCUAGUAGCUGGUUCCCUCCGAAGUUUCCCUCAGGAUAGCUGGCGCUUAUAGCGUACGAGUUUCAUCCGGUAAAGCGAAUGAUUAGAGGCAUUGGGGUCGAAACGGCCUCAACCUAUUCUCAAACUUUAAAUGGGUGAGAUCUUCGGCUUGCUUAAAUAAAAAAAAAUUUUUUUUUUUUUGUGAAGCCGUAAGAUUAGAAUCAAAGUGCCAAGUGGGCCAUUUUUGGUAAGCAGAACUGGCGCUGUGGGAUGAACCAAACGUCGAGUUAAAGCGCCUAAAUUGACGCUUAUAGGAUACCAUGAAAGGCGUUGGUAACUUAAGACAUCAGGACGGUGGCCAUGGAAGUC
This 657-nucleotide ribosomal RNA is filed under the name Macrosiagon sp. UPOL ZL0086. Its description in RNAcentral is "partial 28S ribosomal RNA". It matches the Rfam family "Eukaryotic large subunit ribosomal RNA", at positions 670 to 1262 of the family's 3401-position model. The record is from RNAcentral. Lineage: Eukaryota; Metazoa; Arthropoda; Insecta; Coleoptera; Ripiphoridae.